GACGAACGCUGGCGGCGUGCUUAACACAUGCAAGUCCUACGGUAAGGCCCUUUCGGGGGUACACGAGUGGCGAACGGGUGAGUAACACGUGAGUAACCUGCCCACAACUUUGGGAUAACGCUAGGAAACUGGUGCUAAUACUGGAUAUGUGCUCCUGCUGCAUGGUGGGGGUUGGAAAGCUCCGGCGGUUGUGGAUGGACUCGCGGCCUAUCAGCUUGUUGGUGGGGUAGUGGCCUACCAAGGCGGCGACGGGUAGCCGGCCUGAGAGGGUGACCGGCCACAUUGGGACUGAGAUACGGCCCAGACUCCUACGGGAGGCAGCAGUGGGGAAUAUUGCACAAUGGGCGCAAGCCUGAUGCAGCAACGCCGCGUGCGGGAUGACGGCCUUCGGGUUGUAAACCGCUUUCAGCAGGGACGAAGCUUUUUGUGACGGUACCUGCAGAAGAAGCACCGGCUAACUACGUG
RNAcentral lists this ribosomal RNA (465 nucleotides) under uncultured bacterium. Its description in RNAcentral is "partial 16S ribosomal RNA". It matches the Rfam family "Bacterial small subunit ribosomal RNA", at positions 28 to 507 of the family's 1533-position model. The record is from RNAcentral.